AGCAGUAGCCACGGGAAUACGAAGGGGGCUAGCGUUGCUCGGAAUGACUGGGCGUAAAGGGCGCGUAGGCGGCGAUCAAAGUCAGGCGUGAAAUUCCUGGGCUCAACCUGGGGGCUGCGCUUGAUACUUGGUUGCUUGAGUGGGGAAGAGGGUCGUGGAAUUCCCAGUGUAGAGGUGAAAUUCGUAGAUAUUGGGAAGAACACCGGUGGCGAAGGCGGCGACCUGGUCCUUGACUGACGCUGAGGCGCGAAAGCGUGGGGAGCAAACAGGAUUAGAUACCCCUGUAGUCCCUGUCUCUUAUAC
This 303-nucleotide ribosomal RNA is filed under the name uncultured bacterium. Its description in RNAcentral is "partial 16S ribosomal RNA". It matches the Rfam family "Bacterial small subunit ribosomal RNA", at positions 507 to 807 of the family's 1533-position model. The record is from RNAcentral.